ACGAGGACGCGGUGUGUCAGUGUAAGAUCACCCCGAUGGCCGGAGGCCAGAGGGUGAUCUAACACUAACACACCAAGUCCAAAUGGGAUAACUAUUUUACAUCCCAGCUGUUUUAGAUUAGACGAAAAACCAUUUACAAUUCAUAAAAUCUAGUUUAGAACGCCACACAACCAUUAUAAUAUACUUUAUAUAUUACUAUAUGAUGUAUACCCUUAAUGACCCCGAACACGAUGAGUAGAUAUCAAAUAAUGUCAACUCGCCCCACUGGCCAAUCGGCCCACACUAUAUCGCCACUUAUAAAAAAAAAAUGCC
This 312-nucleotide long non-coding RNA is filed under the name Mytilus galloprovincialis (Mediterranean mussel). Lineage: Eukaryota; Metazoa; Mollusca; Bivalvia; Mytilida; Mytilidae. The record is from RNAcentral.